Cucurbita pepo subsp. pepo (vegetable marrow) is the source of this 2392-nucleotide non-coding RNA. The record is from RefSeq and is a predicted model, not a curated record. Lineage: Eukaryota; Viridiplantae; Streptophyta; Magnoliopsida; Cucurbitales; Cucurbitaceae.
UUACGUUUAAAGUGAAGCUAAAGCCCAUCAUCGCCGCCGGACUGGUUUUCCACCGCUGUACUCUCCGCCGACUCAACAUUCAACCACUUCACUCAAUCUUCCGUCUCUUUCACUACUCUCCAUCAACUCCGCCGCCGUCAAAUUCAUGGCAGUUCAAUGUCUCUCUCUCUAACUUUCCGCAGAUUUUCAAAUUUCUCAGCAUUCCCAGCUACCAAUUCCAAUGCCGCCUGUCAGAUUCGACGAUCCUUGGGACGAGAAGGACGAAGUUUCAGAGGGAAAAUGCGCGUUCCCCGUUGUAGCUCUCUGCCCUUGUCUCGUAUGUUUGAUUCUCGUUCUCAUGGUAGUUUUCAUUCUUCUCUUUGUCAAAUUCCAUUUAUAUUGCCACACGCCUCUUCAUUCUUUGUUCCUCAAGAAACAAUGUUGAUUGCUUUAAGUUCCCGAACGAUUAAUUUCAGAAAUCCCCCUUUCCCCUGUUUUGAUUUACUAGUUAGAGGCUUUUGCGAUCGAAAUUCGUACUCGGAUUCUGAAAUUGAAUGUGAGAUUAGUGAGGAUGAUGAUCGUGAGAGUGAAUCUAGGGCUAAUUCGAUCGAAGUUGAUCGUGUAUGCAAGGUGCUCGACGAAUUGUUUGCUUUAGAUAGAAAUAUGGAGGCUGUUCUUGAUGAGUGUGGUAUCAUAUUGUCUCACGAUCUGGUUUUGAAUGUCUUGGAAAGAUUCAAACAAGCUCGUAAACCUGCAUUUAGAUUCUUCUGUUGGGCUGCUCAUAAACCAGGAUUUUCCCAUGAUUCCAAAACUUACAAUAUGAUGAUGACAAUUUUGGGGAAGACGAGGCAGUUUGAAACCAUGGUUUCAUUGCUUGAAGAAAUGGCUGAAAAAGAGCUUUUGACAAUGGAAACUUUCACCAUUUGUUUCAAAUCCUUUGCAGCUGCAAAAGAGAGAAGGAAAGCUAUUGGGAUCUUUGAAUUGAUGAAGAAGUAUAAAUAUAAAGUUGGUGUAGAAACUAUAAACUGCUUGCUUGAUAGUCUAGGCAGGGCAAAGCUUGGUAAAGAAGCUCAAGCCGUUUUCGAGAAGUUGUGUGGUCGGUUUACGCCGAAUUUGCAAACGUACACGGUUUUGUUGAACGGUUGGUGUCGGGUUAGGAAUCUAAUGGAGGCUGGGAAGAUAUGGAAUCUGAUGAUUGAUGAAGGUUGUAAGCCUGAUAUUGUUGCUCAUAAUACCAUGCUUGAAGGUUUGUUGAGGUGUAAGAAGAGGUCAGAUGCUAUCAAGUUGUUUGAGGUUAUGAAAGCGAAAGGCCCGUCCCCUGACGUUAAAAGCUACACGAUCUUGGUUCGAGAUUUCUGUAAACAAAACAAGAUGAAAGAAGCGGUUGAGUAUUUCGAAGAAAUGCAGGGGGCGGGAUGUCGACCCGACACUGGAAUCUAUACAUGUUUGAUCACAGGGUUUGGGAAUCAAAGAAGAAUGGACAUGAUUUAUGGGAUACUAAAAGAGAUGAAAACAAAUGGUUGCCCACCUGAUGGGAAGACCUAUAAUUCUCUGAUCAAGUUGAUGACGAACAGGCGAAUGCCUGACGAUGCUGGUCGGAUAUACAACAAGAUGAUUGAAAGCGGUAUUAAACCAACGAUCCACACGUACAACAUGAUGAUGAAGUCCUACUUUCAAACAAGGAACUACGAAAUGGGUGUUUUUGUUUGGGAUGAAAUGAAGCAAAAGGGGUGCUGCCCGGACGAUAACUCGUACACCGUGUUCAUCGGAGGGCUCAUAAGUCAUGGACGAUGCAGCGAAGCAGGUAAGUAUCUCGAGGAAAUGAUCGAGAAAGGAAUGAAGGCUCCUCAGCUUGAUUACAACAAAUUUGCUGCUGAUUUCUCUAGAGCUGGAAGACCUGACAUUCUUGAAGAAUUAGCUCAAAAACUGAAAUUCUCUGGUAAAUUUGAAGCAUCUAAUGUGAUUGCACGAUGGGCUGAGAUGAUGAGGAAGAGAGUCAAGAGAAGAACACCUAGGAACAUUGUCAAUGCCGAUCAUAGCAACCGACUGAUACACGAUGAACACUAUUUUUCAGUCCGUCCAUGAGCGGGAAAACUCGAACCUUUGACCUGCCAAUCGACGGUUUUGUGGAUGAGUAACGGCCAUAAGAAACCGAAGAGACUACUCGGGUUCAAAAAGAAGUAUUCAACCUAGUGUCACAACCAUACUACGAAGAGAGUAAGUUGUGACCCUCAUGUCGAGCCGAGAAAGCGGCAACCCUUAGGAGGUGCCCAUUGAGCCAUGCGAAGGUCCCACGUAGUUGAAAAAGUAUGACUGUGACACAAUACUAAUGUUUUAAACUGUUCGGUUAUUCUUAAGUCAUUGUUUAGUAAUAUCUGAGACGAAAAUUUCUAAUACGUAGAUUUUGUCUAAU